Alligator mississippiensis (American alligator) is the source of this 3570-nucleotide long non-coding RNA. RefSeq lists it as uncharacterized. The transcript is spliced from 3 exons. Lineage: Eukaryota; Metazoa; Chordata; Crocodylia; Alligatoridae. The record is from RefSeq and is a predicted model, not a curated record.
GGUUUAGCAGUUCUUUACACAAUAAGAUGGAUAACCAGGGUGAUCUUGGCCUUAAAAUGAGAAAGUUAAAGCUUUUAUGGGUGACAUCAUGUCUGAGAGAAGCCCACAGCACAUUACCAGCCAGAUUGUGCCAGGCACUGUACAGACCCAGGUUAGAAGUUUCCUUGCAGCAAAGACUUCUUACCUAUGCGUUAAGAAAGACAGAUUGAAUUAGAUAUAGGCAAUGGACAAAACGUAACUUGCUCUCAGUUGUAGGGAGGGACCAAAACAUCAUAAGGUCCUCCAGAGCCCUGAGUACCCAAAGCUAGCAUGGCUAAAGCACACAUGAAUUCCAGGAGCUGACAGCACACAAGAGAGGAGGUGUGGGUAGCAACACACACAGCCGUUGCGCCGAAUGACCUCAUACCAUUUCAGCAAGUGUGUGUUUUGGGCCUCAGUCCAGAGCAGGUCACAAACUCACCUCUCUGCCAUUACACCCCCUUGAGUGAAAUAAAGGGGCUAUGAAAGUUCCACCUGGCCAGUGAAAGGGUCCCAAUGCAGGCCCUUCAGGAGAUGGCCAAUAAGGCUUCCCUUCACAGACAUCCUUGCAAGCUCUUGAGUAGGGGGCAUGCCACAUGUGGGGCCAGCAGUGGGAAGGGCUGCAGCAUGCAGCAUUGUGAGGAUUUCUGACACAGCUGAGGAUCAUAGGUGAACCUGUGGAGGCUGUCCUACUAAAACAGGCCAUUCAGAGCCAUCUAAACAUUGCAGGGGCCUGUUACAUACCCUCUAAGCCCUACCAUAUCCCCCCACUCCCCCUUAGUAUUAAAACAUAGGUUUCACUUGAAACAGGAAAAAGUAAAAGACUGGUAAGAGAUACUCUUGAGCUCUCUACAGAGCAAUGGAGAUCCCAGAGUACCAGGAGGGGAAGAUGUUUCUGAUUUAAAAUCUGCUCUACUAGGUCUAUCACUGCUUGAGGCCUAGCUCUCCAGAAACUAAAGGUUGCUGGUAAUUUGGUAAUCUGUCACAGAGAGUUUUUCUUCUAUUGUAAUUGUAGUCUAUCUCACCUACAAGUAGGAAAGCAAUUAUGCACUCACUUAUGGAAAAAAGGUAGCUUCUGUCUAUCCAAAUCUGUGUCUAUACUAAGUUUUCCAUUGACACCAAGACAAGAAAAAAAUGAUUAUUUCUUGGAUUCAGCGCUGAUCAAAAACUGGAAUUUUCCAAUGUAUAGGAAAUUCCAAUAUUUCAAAAUUUGGUUUCAUCUCAAAAUUUACUAUGGUCCAUAAUGCAUCCCAUCAAUUUAAUCAGAGGGGGAGACUGAAAUGCAUCAUGGGAAGCAAAGAUUCUUCAGUGAGCUGAGCCCAUACAGGAGAAUAGAAUAUUUUUGGCAAAAUCAAUAUUUUGAUUUUGGUGAAAUUGCAUUUUCAAUAAAAUGGAGGGAACCUGCUACUCCAUCCAGCCGUUCUUCUAAUGGAGUUUAUUGCUUUCCCACCUCAGCUCUGUACCUUGCAAAGCUAUACUUGUCAAGUAAAGGCAUUUUUUUUGAUUGUUCAAAAAAUGGGCUGUAAGAAAGAUUUGGUCUGUCAAAAAAUCACUGGAGGGACUCUUUCCAUAGGGGUUAGAGUGAGCAUGGAUGAGAGAUUUUAAACUCCAUCUUGUAAAUGUUUUUGUCCUGCAAGUUUCAUACACACACGCUCAGAUGCACACGUUCAGUGUUAUAGAACUUUCAGGAUUAAUAUAUAGUUAGUGAUGAAGAAAGUUGUUUUCUAUCCUUUAUGAGUUCAUUACCUUAAACAUUGCUGACAAGGUUUGCUAUACAUUAUAUUUAUGAGAUAGGUGAGUUAUAAUAAUGUACCUCUUGAGCACUGUUAUUUUUGUAGUAACUUCUGAAAUCAUAAAUAUAAUAUUAUUAUGAGCAUGAGACCUAAAAAAAGAAAGUAGCAAAAGUAUGAGUUACUGCUGGGCAGAAGGAAGAGGGAAAGGGCAGUACAAAAACAGAGUUUAUGAAUGCUGAGAAAGAAAAGCCCAGGUGAAGAAGCAGCCGAUAGCAGUGAAAUGACACUAGUUUCCACAGUGCAUCCCUGAACAGACUGCAGAAACCUGUUGGUGAGCAACGAGAUAAGGAGUGGCCCAGAGGUAUGGAGGGUCUUUGUCAGACUAAGAAAUGGAUUGCAACAUCAGCACAUGGUGCAACGGCUCUAGUCAAGUCUCUAAAACCAUAUAACUUUCACCUUAGCAUACGUGGAGAAACAGCUUUUAAGUGAGACGAUAAUCAAGCUUCUAGAGUGGAGUGCAACUGCAGGAGUGGAGUGGAGAGGAUACGGGAGUGGAUAAGGUUCCUCUCAAACUGACCCUGGAGUAUUGUGAGCCAAGCGGGGCAUUCUCUGCUUUCUACCAAUGUGCAGAGCACGCUCACAGAGGCUGCAUGCUUUAGCUGGUCCAAGGGCCCACACCUCAUCUCAGAGCCUGACUCUCUACUCAGCUACAGCAACGUGCACUCUCUCAGGCCAAACAGCCCCUUCUGCCAUGCAAUUCCACCCACCAAUCAGAGAAGUGGCACCAGGAAGAAGUCAGGGAGGCUUUUUACUGCUCUCCAGCCAGGACCAGGAGCUUCAUGUGGAGGAGACCCAGCAACCACCAGCAAAGAUAGGGUUCAAAGAUGCCACCACCAUCAGCAGGUACACUCCGCAUGUGCCGCCUCUAUCAGCACUGGACCCAGAACCGGACAGUGCUCCUGAAGUGGCUGGUCACUAUGGCUGAGGAGCAGCUCAAGGACUUUUGGUCCUGGUGCCACCAGGACUUGGAGAGGGAGUGGGAGAGGGGCCAGGUGCACUUUGCCCUCAAGCAGAGGGGGCUCACCUUCCAGGAGAGGCUGGUCGCCCUCCAAAAGAGGUACCUCACCCUCAAAAAGAGGCACCUCACUCUCCUGGAGAGGCUGGUGGAGGCACAAAAACAGCAGCGCACUGUGGUGCACCAGGCAAUAGAGGUCACUGCAUCCUUGACACCAUGCUGGUCCUGGCAGUCACCUUUGUGCUGCCUGGAGCCCAUCCCUGAGCCCUGGCCCUGCCUGGCCCCUGGCUGUCAUCUACAGACCAGCGUCUAGCCCCACAGUGGGCAUUGGAGGAGGUUCAGUACCACUUGCAGCAGCCAAGGCCCCCUGCCCCUGGUCCUCAUCCUGGUCCUGUGGGGGUCUGGCCCCCCUCCUGGGCUGUUCCCUGCUGCUCACCCUACCACCAUGCAGCUCCUGAGUGGAAGCUGGCCACAGCUGGGCUAGCUCCCCAUGUGGGCCCUGCUGGCUAUAUCCCUGUGGAGGAGGAGGGGGAAUAAGCUGAGUGAGCUGGACAGUGCCCACUGUCACCCCUGGGCCAGCCCCCAGCCCACGGUGUCACCAUAGCAUUUGCACUGGAGGUGGUGUCAGCAGAGGCCAGGGUGCUGGGUGCCUCUCCCUGGGCUCUGCACUGUAGGUGCCUCCUUCACUCUUGACAGUUUCACAAAGACACUUGUGUAAAUAGUUCAAAGGGAAGAGGAUCCUUUACUGGUGGUGCUUUAUUGGCAUUGAGGUUAGGGGUGAGAUCUGUAGUUGAGGAUGGAGGA